UGGUGUAACUGGAAAGCACAUCCGACUGGUAUUCGGAAAACGCGGAGUUCGAAUCUCGC
This 59-nucleotide transfer RNA is filed under the name Stegodyphus mimosarum. It matches the Rfam family "tRNA", at positions 8 to 63 of the family's 71-position model. From Rfam's summary of the family: Transfer RNA (tRNA) molecules are approximately 80 nucleotides in length. Their secondary structure includes four short double-helical elements and three loops (D, anti-codon, and T loops). The record is from Rfam by way of RNAcentral. Lineage: Eukaryota; Metazoa; Arthropoda; Arachnida; Araneae; Eresidae.